This 497-nucleotide ribosomal RNA is filed under the name uncultured bacterium. RNAcentral describes it as "partial 16S ribosomal RNA". It matches the Rfam family "Bacterial small subunit ribosomal RNA", at positions 28 to 507 of the family's 1533-position model. The record is from RNAcentral.
GAUGAACGCUGGCGGCGUGCCUAAUACAUGCAAGUCGAGCGAUGAGAUGCUGAGCUUGCUCCUCUGACGUUAGUAGCGGACGGGUGAGUAACACGUGGAUAACCUACCUAUAAGACUGGGAUAACUUUGGGAAACCGGUGCUAAUACCGCAUAAUACAUUGAACCGCCUGGUCCAGUAGUGAAAGACGGCUUUUGCGUCCAUUCAUGAUUGAUCCGCGCCGCAUUAGCUAGUUGGUAAGGUAAAGGCUUACCAAGGCCACGAUGCGUAGCCGACCUGAGAGGGUGAUCGGCCACACUGGAACUGAGACACGGUCCAGACUCCUACGGGAGGCAGCAGUAGGGAAUCUUCCGCAAUGGGCGAAAGCCUGACGGAGCAACGCCGCGUGAAUGAAGAAGGUCUUCGGAUCGUAAAAUUCUGUUAUUAGGGAAGAACAAAUGUGGAAGUAACUGUGCACGUCUUGACGGUACCUAAUCAGAAAGCCACGGCUAACUACGUG